UACGUAGGAGGCGAGCGUUGUCCGGAAUCACUGGGUGUAAAGCGCGUGUAGGCGGCCUGCCAAGUCUGCUGUGAAAGCGCCUGGCUUAACCGGGGAGGGUCGUUGGGGACGGCGGGGCUUGAGGGCGGGAGAGGUCGGUGGAAUUCCCGGUGUAGUGGUGAAAUGCGUAGAGAUCGGGAGGAACACCUGUGGCGAAGGCGGCCGACUGGGCCGACCCUGACGCUGAGGCGCGAAGGCGUGGGGAGCGAACGGG
This 253-nucleotide ribosomal RNA is filed under the name uncultured bacterium. RNAcentral describes it as "partial 16S ribosomal RNA". It matches the Rfam family "Bacterial small subunit ribosomal RNA", at positions 524 to 776 of the family's 1533-position model. The record is from RNAcentral.